Molecule: long non-coding RNA, 1352 nt
Filed under: Heterocephalus glaber (naked mole-rat)
Lineage: Eukaryota; Metazoa; Chordata; Mammalia; Rodentia; Bathyergidae
Description: lncRNA (ENSHGLG00100051321.1)
Source: RNAcentral
GGCCAGGGUCUGCCAGGGGUUGCUGAUGGUCAUUGUGCUCAUGUGUAUGAGCCAUGUUGCCCAGUUACUUUCUUCUUUUGUAUUUGUACCAGGAUAUCCUGGACCUGAGUUGAAAUUUAACUGAGGAGGUAUAUCUAACACAGAAAGCCAGUUGCCAUGGCAGGCCUUCCUUUCUCUCUCCAGCUAUUUCCUGCCUCAGUAGGAUAGAACAAAUAAAGAUAGGUAGAAAGGAGACAAAGAAAAUCAUAAUUUAAAAAUGUACUUUUAAGAAAACUGCAACUUCAGAACAUAAUCAAUGUUACCUAAGGUUAUCCAUAUUUGUACUCCAUAUCUUUAUUCCCCUAGGCUUGGUCCUGUUCCCUAGCUGGCUUUUUUUUUUUUUUUUUUCUCCUUCCAGGCCCAUCACAACCAAACCCCUUAAAUAUAUAGUGGUACCUCAGUUCACCGAUGCGUUUGUGUGCAAACAGUUUGGUUUUUGUGAACAACAGAAGCAUUUAGCAAAAUUUUGCUUUUGUUUUCUAACUCUGCAUCAGAUGACAAACAUGACUACGGCCAUAUUUCCCACAUGACCAUGAACGUGGCCAUCUUUUUCAGACUUGUAGAAUGAAUUAAGUUCAUGAACUGUGGCACCUCUGUACUAUUAACCCAUAAGUUAACCUAGUUAAUAAGGUAAAGGACAGCAACCUAUGCUUAAGAUGAAGAAACAGACUCAAAGGUUUCAAAGAUUGUUUUUAUUUUUGGACAAUCUUUGAUCAUCCAUCUUCAAGGAUAACUUUAAGAACACAUGUAUUCUCAACUCCAUACCAUAGUGUACCUCUCUCUUGUGUGCCUAUACUCUAUUUUCACUAUGUACUUCUUUAACUCUGCCUAGUAAAGUCUAUCUAUGUUUUUCACUGAUGUGUCCAGAAUUUUUUUUUCUUUGACCAGAGUCAAGAACCUAGUUGGUAUGCUGAGUUGAGAUUCCCAUCUCUUCUUUGGGAGGACUCCUUGGAUCCUAUCUGGUGACCGUAUUAUACGAACGUCUUUCAUUAUUCAUGAAAGGAAUGGGAUGAAACAUUGGAGUCCCGGAAGAUGAAGUGAAACAUCAUCCUUGCUUUUUUCUCCCAUCAUCUCAUCACGGGAUUCACUUGAGACUAAUUCUUAAAAUAUCAUUUGAAUCUUCUCAUGUUUUGAUAGCCCCACCUCUCCUGUCACAGGCCAAGCCAUCUGACAUUUUUCUGCUGAUCACAGCAAGUUUAUUGUUCACCCACUUCCUACCAGGCUUCCUAUCCAGCCUAGCUCCAAAAAUUCUAAAAGCAAUGAUAUGGCCACAUUACUGCCAAGUUUAAGCCUUCCCAUAAUCCUCAGUGUGC